RNAcentral lists this non-coding RNA (23 nucleotides) under Rattus norvegicus (Norway rat). The record is from RNAcentral. Lineage: Eukaryota; Metazoa; Chordata; Mammalia; Rodentia; Muridae.
GGUAAAAGGAAGUGCUAAGGAGU